GAUUCGUCACACUAUCAUUAACUGAAUCCAUAGGUUAAUGAGGCGAACCGGGGGAACUGAAACAUCUAAGUACCCCGAGGAAAAGAAAUCAACCGAGAUUCCCCCAGUAGCGGCGAGCGAACGGGGAGGAGCCCAGAGCCUGAAUCAGCAUGUGUGUUAGUGGAAGCGUCUGGAAAGGCGCGCGAUACAGGGUGACAGCCCCGUACACAAAAGCGCAUGUGCUGUGAGCUCGAUGAGUAGGGCGGGACACGUGGUAUCCUGUCUGAAUAUGGGGGGACCAUCCUCCAAGGCUAAAUACUCCUGACUGACCGAUAGUGAACCAGUACCGUGAGGGAAAGGCGAAAAGAACCCCGGCGAGGGGAGUGAAAAAGAACCUGAAACCGUGUACGUACAAGCAGUGGGAGCACAGGUUUACCUGUGUGACUGCGUACCUUUUGUAUAAUGGGUCAGCGACUUAUAUUCUGUAGCAAGGUUAACCGAAUAGGGGAGCCGGAGGGAAACCGAGUCUUAAUUGGGCGUUAAGUUGCAGGGUAUAGACCCGAAACCCGGUGAUCUAGCCAUGGGCAGGUUGAAGGUUGGGUAACACUAACUGGAGGACCGAACCGACUAAUGUUGAAAAAUUAGCGGAUGACCUGUGGCUGGGGGUGAAAGGCCAAUCAAACCGGGAGAUAGCUGGUUCUCCCCGAAAGCUAUUUAGGUAGCGCCUCGUGAAUUCAUCUCCGGGGGUAGAGCACUGUUUCGGCUAGGGGGCCAUCCCGGCUUACCAACCCGAUGCAAACUGCGAAUACCGGAGAAUGUUAUCACGGGAGACACACGGCGGGUGCUAACGUCCGUCGUGAAGAGGGAAACAACCCAGACCGCCAGCUAAGGUCCCAAAGUCAUGGUUAAGUGGGAAACGAUGUGGGAAGGCCCAGACAGCCAGGAUGUUGGCUUAGAAGCAGCCAUCAUUUAAAGAAAGCGUAAUAGCUCACUGGUCGAGUCGGCCUGCGCGGAAGAUGUAACGGGGCUAAACCAUGCACCGAAGCUGCGGCAGCGAACGUAUCACCCAAGACAACUUUACGGAGUUGACGAUUGACGGAGCGAAGCGACGUCAAAGCGUUCAUUAAAGUCGAGUUGGCUUAGGGAUACGUUCGUUGGGUAGGGGAGCGUUCUGUAAGCCUGUGAAGGUGUGUCGUGAGGCAUGCUGGAGGUAUCAGAAGUGCGAAUGCUGACAUAAGUAACGAUAAAGCGGGUGAAAAGCCCGCUCGCCGGAAGACCAAGGGUUCCUGUCCAACGUUAAUCGGGGCAGGGUGAGUCGACCCCUAAGGCGAGGCCGAAAGGCGUAGUCGAUGGGAAACGGGUUAAUAUUCCCGUACUUGGUGUUACUGCGAAGGGGGGACGGAGAAGGCUAUGUUGGCCGGGCGACGGUUGUCCCGGUUUAAGCGUGUAGGUGUGUGUUCCAGGUAAAUCCGGUUCACUUUAACACUGAGGCGUGACGACGAGGCACUACGGUGCUGAAGCAACAAAUGCCCUGCUUCCAGGAAAAGCCUCUAAGCAUCAGGUAACACGAAAUCGUACCCCAAACCGACACAGGUGGUCAGGUAGAGAAUACCAAGGCGCUUGAGAGAACUCGGGUGAAGGAACUAGGCAAAAUGGUGCCGUAACUUCGGGAGAAGGCACGCUGACACGUAGGUGAAGUGAUUUACUCAUGGAGCUGAAGUCAGUCGAAGAUACCAGCUGGCUGCAACUGUUUAUUAAAAACACAGCACUGUGCAAACACGAAAGUGGACGUAUACGGUGUGACGCCUGCCCGGUGCCGGAA
Molecule: ribosomal RNA, 1801 nt
Filed under: Salmonella enterica subsp. enterica
Lineage: Bacteria; Pseudomonadati; Pseudomonadota; Gammaproteobacteria; Enterobacterales; Enterobacteriaceae
Description: partial 23S ribosomal RNA
Rfam family: Bacterial large subunit ribosomal RNA
Source: RNAcentral